AGAGUUUGAUCCUGGCUCAGAUUGAACGCUGGCGGCAUGCCUUACACAUGCAAGUCGAACGGUAGAGUAGCAAUACUCGAGAGUGGCGAACGGGUGAGUAAUAUAUCGGAACGUGCCCAGUCGUGGGGGAUAACGUAGAGAAAUUUACGCUAAUACCGCAUACGAUCUAAGGAUGAAAGCGGGGGAUUCGCAAGAACCUCGCGCGAUUGGAGCGGCUGAUAUCAGAUUAGGUUGUUGGUGAGGUAAAAGCUCACCAAGCCGACGAUCUGUAGCUGGUUUGAGAGAACGACCAGCCACACUGGGACUGAGACACGGCCCAGACUCCUACGGGAGGCAGCAGUGGGGAAUUUUGGACAAUGGGCGCAAGCCUGAUCCAGCCAUGCCGCGUGAGUGAAGAAGGCCUUCGGGUUGUAAAGCUCUUUCAGCCGGGAAGAAAACGCAUGGGUUAAUACCCUGUGUGGAUGACGGUACCGGAAUAAGAAGCACCGGCUAACUACGUGCCAGCAGCCGCGGUAAUACGUAGGGUGCGAGCGUUAAUCGGAAUUACUGGGCGUAAAGCGUGCGCAGGCGGUUUGUUAAGAUAGGCGUGAAAUCCCCGGGCUCAACCUGGGAACUGCGUUUAUGACUGGCAGGCUAGAGUAUGGCAGAGGGGGGUGGAAUUCCACGUGUAGCAGUGAAAUGCGUAGAGAUGUGGAGGAACACCGAUGGCGAAGGCAGCCCCCUGGGCCAAUACUGACGCUCAUGCACGAAAGCGUGGGUAGCAAACAGGAUUAGAUACCCUGGUAGUCC
Molecule: ribosomal RNA, 789 nt
Filed under: uncultured bacterium
Lineage: Bacteria
Description: bacterial SSU rRNA
Rfam family: Bacterial small subunit ribosomal RNA
Source: RNAcentral